GGUUAAGCGACUAAGCGUACACGGUGGAUGCCCAGGCAGUCAGAGGCGAUGAAGGACGUGCUAAUCUGCGUAAAGCGACGGUAAGGUGAUAUGAACCGCUACAGCCGUCGAUGUCCGAAUGGGGAAACCCGGUGCACUCUGUGCAUCAUUGCAGCAUGAAUACAUAGUGCUGCAAGGCGAACCGGGGGAACUGAAACAUCUAAGUACCCCGAGGAAAAGAAAUCAACCGAGA
Molecule: non-coding RNA, 232 nt
Filed under: Plasmopara halstedii
Lineage: Eukaryota; Oomycota; Peronosporomycetes; Peronosporales; Peronosporaceae
Description: Bacterial large subunit ribosomal RNA
Rfam family: Bacterial large subunit ribosomal RNA
Source: Rfam by way of RNAcentral